AUUGAACGCUGGCGGCAUGCCUUACACAUGCAAGUCGAACGGCAGCACGGGUGCUUGCCCCUGGUGGCGAGUGGCGAACGGGUGAGUAAUACAUCGGAACAUGUCCUGUAGUGGGGGACAGCCCGGCGAAAGCCGGAUUAAUACCGCAUACGAUCUACGGAUGAAAGCGGGGGACCUUCGGGCCUCGCGCUAUAGGGUUGGCCGAUGGCUGAUUAGCUAGUUGGUGGGGUAAAGGCCUACCAAGGCGACGAUCAGUAGCUGGUCUGAGAGGACGACCAGCCACACUGGGACUGAGACACGGCCCAGACUCCUACGGGAGGCAGCAGUGGGGAAUUUUGGACAAUGGGCGAAAGCCUGAUCCAGCAAUGCCGCGUGUGUGAAGAAGGCCUUCGGGUUGUAAAGCACUUUUGUCCGGAAAGAAAUCCUUGGCUCUAAUACAGUCGGGGGAUGACGGUACCGGAAGAAUAAGCACCGGCUAACUACGUG
RNAcentral lists this ribosomal RNA (486 nucleotides) under uncultured bacterium. RNAcentral's name for it is "partial 16S ribosomal RNA". It matches the Rfam family "Bacterial small subunit ribosomal RNA", at positions 30 to 507 of the family's 1533-position model. The record is from RNAcentral.